This 253-nucleotide ribosomal RNA is filed under the name uncultured bacterium. RNAcentral describes it as "partial 16S ribosomal RNA". It matches the Rfam family "Bacterial small subunit ribosomal RNA", at positions 524 to 776 of the family's 1533-position model. The record is from RNAcentral.
UACGAAGGUGGCAAGCGUUAUCCGGAAUUAUUGGGCGUAAAGCGCGCGCAGGCGGUCCUUUAAGUCUGAUGUGAAAGCCCACGGCUCAACCGUGGAGGGUCAUUGGAAACUGGGGGACUUGAGUGCAGAAGAGGAGAGCGGAAUUCCACGUGUAGCGGUGAAAUGCGUAGAGAUGUGGAGGAACACCAGUGGCGAAGGCGGCUCUCUGGUCUGUAACUGACGCUGAGGCGCGAAAGCGUGGGGAGCGAACAGG